CCUCCUGUGGCCAGAAUCUCCUGGAGACGACAAACGGAGAGCGGAUGUUUAGAGGAGCUGCCCUCUGCUGACGGACAGCAGCUGGAGCUCAGAGAGUCUGGAUGUACUGCCUCCGUCUUACAGAUCUAUCAGACAAAGUUCAGCUAUGAAUACAGCUGCUACGUGCAGCAUGAGGGGGGAACAGUGGAGGCUCGGAUAGAUACAGCGGAUCCCUCUGUCCCGUCUCCAUACAAGGUGAAGCUGCUCUUGCUGCUCUACACAGUGCUGACAGUGAAGAGUCUGGUGUACUGCUGUGGACUCUUCCUGCUGACCGUCCUUAGGAACAAGAGUCCGUCCACAAACUGCACACAUGCUGGAUGACUAUGUUUUACUCUAUUUUCUAUCCCACCAUCAUCUCAUAAAUGUAUCUCCUUUAUCACUUAGAUGAAUUUAACAAUGUCAAUCAUGAAUAAAUAUAUGCAAUUAUGAUCAAACAACAUUUUGCAGCAGUGUAAAACAAAUCCUAUAUUAUAUACAGUAAAUGUUAUUGUUUUGUAUAAUACUUUAGCAAAUGAUGCGCAAUGU
This is a non-coding RNA of Labrus bergylta (ballan wrasse), 564 nucleotides long. The record is from RefSeq and is a predicted model, not a curated record. NCBI's taxonomy places the organism in Eukaryota, Metazoa, Chordata, Actinopteri, Labriformes, Labridae.